GCCCUGAGAGGGAGAUUGAGCCUGAGAGAGGAGAAGGAGUUUCUUCUUCUUCGAAAACCCUCGUCUACGACUCCUACCCCCUCACCCAUCCACUCGCCUCCCUCCCGAGCCCCCUCCACCCUCCUUCUCUUUGGCCGUGAGAGGAAGAGAGAAAGAGACCAAAAGCCUCUUAGCAACACAGACCUUUUGCUGCUUCUGCUGCUGCUGCUGCUGCUGCUGUUGCUGCUGCUGCUGCUGCUGUUGCUGCUGUUGCUGCUGCUGCUGCUGCUGCUGUUGCUGUUGCUGCUGUUGCUGUUGCUGCUGCUGCUGUUGCUUGGCCCUGGCUGGAGACAUCUCACUACACCCAGGAGCAGCCACUUCCCCAGCUCUCCUCCUUCUCCUCCUCCUCCUCCUCCACUCCCCCCCUUUAUUACCCUUUGUGUCAUCCUCCACAGCUCCAGGGAAGGCACUCAAAAGUGGGGGGCAGGAAAGACAAUUACCAACUUUCCAGUUUUCUGUGGAUAUGAAGAUUUACUCCUAGUCAUCAGUGGGACCCCAUGAAGUCAGCCAGAAAGCCUAUAUCCAACUAAUGUACUUUUGCAAAUGUGUCUGUAUUUGGAAUGUAAAUGAAUAACAGAUUAUGCUUAGCUAUUCAUUAAACAUAUAUGGAGUGUCUACUGUCUGUCAGGCACUGUAUUAGGAUGAAAAAACAAGGAUGGUCCCCAUAAUUUAUUGUGAAGUGAUUUUUAAAUUGUAUCCACAGUAUUUUGAUCAUAUCUAUAUUUUUGUUUACGUAAAUACAUUUUUAUUGACUAAAUAGGUGGGGAAAUGUAUGUUUAAGAAGAAUAUUGCUGUAUUUUAUUAAAAUAGAAAAAUAUAAAGAAAACAUUUUCAUUUAAUACUGUGUUCUGGGCAUUUCUAUUCUUUAUAUAGUUCACUAAUUUUAGACUAUGAAAAUAGAUGUGGCUACCAUUGCUGGAAUUUUACUGUGCUAACCAUAAUUCUUUUAAAGAUGACCCACACAGUACAUUAAAUAUUUUUCAAAAAAAAAAAAAAAACCCU
This 1041-nucleotide long non-coding RNA is filed under the name Fukomys damarensis (Damara mole-rat). RNAcentral describes it as "lncRNA (ENSFDAG00000025135.1)". The record is from RNAcentral. Lineage: Eukaryota; Metazoa; Chordata; Mammalia; Rodentia; Bathyergidae.